Molecule: ribosomal RNA, 602 nt
Filed under: Escherichia coli
Lineage: Bacteria; Pseudomonadati; Pseudomonadota; Gammaproteobacteria; Enterobacterales; Enterobacteriaceae
Description: partial 23S ribosomal RNA
Rfam family: Bacterial large subunit ribosomal RNA
Source: RNAcentral
UUAUAUUCUGUAGCAAGGUUAACCGAAUAGGGGAGCCGAAGGGAAACCGAGUCUUAACUGGGCGUUAAGUUGCAGGGUAUAGACCCGAAACCCGGUGAUCUAGCCAUGGGCAGGUUGAAGGUUGGGUAACACUAACUGGAGGACCGAACCGACUAAUGUUGAAAAAUUAGCGGAUGACUUGUGGCUGGGGGUGAAAGGCCAAUCAAACCGGGAGAUAGCUGGUUCUCCCCGAAAGCUAUUUAGGUAGCGCCUCGUGAAUUCAUCUCCGGGGGUAGAGCACUGUUUCGGCAAGGGGGUCAUCCCGACUUACCAACCCGAUGCAAACUGCGAAUACCGGAGAAUGUUAUCACGGGAGACACACGGCGGGUGCUAACGUCCGUCGUGAAGAGGGAAACAACCCAGACCGCCAGCUAAGGUCCCAAAGUCAUGGUUAAGUGGGAAACGAUGUGGGAAGGCCCAGACAGCCAGGAUGUUGGCUUAGAAGCAGCCAUCAUUUAAAGAAAGCGUAAUAGCUCACUGGUCGAGUCGGCCUGCGCGGAAGAUGUAACGGGGCUAAACCAUGCACCGAAGCUGCGGCAGCGACGCUGAUGCGUUGUUGGGUA